Long non-coding RNA from Acanthochromis polyacanthus (spiny chromis), 1859 nucleotides. RefSeq lists it as uncharacterized. Lineage: Eukaryota; Metazoa; Chordata; Actinopteri; Pomacentridae. The transcript has 2 exons. The record is from RefSeq and is a predicted model, not a curated record.
CGGACAUCUGCGAUCUAUCAUAAGCGUGGAUGUCAGCGUUUACUAUACAGCUGUAUCUAAACGCGGACAUCCGCGCUGCAUAGUGCAUACAUAAUAUAUGCACGAUGCAGCGCCGAUGUCCGUCCGUGUUUCGCGCUCGGGUCGGACGGAGAUUUCUGUUGCAUUGCGCGUUCACUUCCGCUUUUGAUGACGUAUCGUGCUCAGAUGAUUCGUCGACGCGUCGUUAGGUGCAGCCCUAGUCUAAAAUUAAGAGUCGCUUCCAAUCUCGGGGUUACAAUUAGCAUGUCUCAGUUGUUUCCGUGAUGCCAUGUAUGGUGAAUAGUGACCUAAAUCACGAGCAUUUGGAGCAUCUGCGUGACGCUCAUUGGCUGACAUCUGGGCUGGCCGCUGGCGAGAUUUAAUGAAGGCUAUUGUGCAUGCGGGAGGACCUGCCGUUACGCUGUAAAAAAAAUCCUGGUGAGAACCCUGAUACCUGAACUAGAUGAUGGACUGACACAUUUUUUUCAGGCCAGGAAAUCUAAACAAUGAGGCUACUGUAUCUCGGUUGCACUGAGACGUCUUCUUGUCUCCUUCCCUCUGUCAACAAAAAUCCUGCUGAGGGAGACGGACAGGCUACUUCGGGUCUACACAAGAUGAAAGAUCCCAUGGGCUGCUGAUUUCAAGCAAGUUCUUUGGAUUUCUAUCAACACCUCUCAGAAACACAGCCUCAGAGUGUUUCAUUUAGUCCAGAAUAACAAAAGCAGAAUGCAACAUAACUAAGUAUCUGUGUUACAGCAGUAACAACACAUUUGGAGCAAAAACGAAGAAAAGAAGCAGCCGACACUGUUUGAAAAUCUUUCGAGGUGACAGACUGCCAAAUCAGCACUGUCUCCUGUGGUAGCCAGCCACACAUCAAGACCUCAUUCAGUGUUUCUUCAUUACAGUUCAGCUUUCUCCUGAGCCAGGCUGAGCUGUCCUGCCAGCAGGGCAUCAGGAUGCUAACACAGGCACUCUGGCAUGUGAGUAGCACUCACACAGUGCGAAACAUGCCAAGCUCUUUCGCUGACAAUGUCUGCUUUCUCAUAGCUCUGAUACAAUGCAUUACUAUGAUCAACAGUAGGAACAGUGUUCAAAUUUAGAUGAGGCUCACCCCAGUAGCAGGGGGAUGUUAGCUAGAUAUCAUCGUACAAAUUUAAGUUUUCUUUGCUGUCUUGUUUCAAAUAUGGGUUGCUUUGUUUCCUGUAUGUAUUGCUGGAUUAUUUGAGAAGAAAAUACUGUUAACUAUGUAAAUGAGUGAGCCUGGUCUGAAAAUCUCUUAAGCGGUCCUUGCUAACUUACAGCUACACUGUAAAAAAAUUGCUUUUACAGUAAAAUUCUGGCAGCUGUGGUUGCCAGAACGCUACUGUAAAAUCCCGGUAAAACACUUUCCUAAUUUACAGUAAAGACAUGUCUUGAUACUUUUGAGUUUAUGGUUAAAAAUGUGCCUCAUUCCAUAUUUUGCUGUGAAGUUUCAACCUUUAAAGAAAUUUUAGUUUAACAGGAAAAUCUACAUGAAAACACCAUAGAAAAUGAAGUUUGUGGGACCUAUUAUGUAAUAUUACAGUAUGUUUUCCAUUAUCAGCACAACAGUUAGUGUAUUAAAUUUUUAAUAUGUGUAUUUUUAACAAAUAUUGUGGUUAUAACUGUCAUCAAUAUUAAACCGCAUGUCCAUUCAUCAAUUUGACAGGUCCAAACUGUAGUUUUUACAUGAAAUAAAUGCAAUAAUCGGCAUGUUGCUUGUUAUAAAUAUUACAGUAUGCUUACAUUAUCAAUACAAAAUGUGAAAAUUGGUAUUUGUAUUUUUUUGAGAAAUAAAUGCAAAAAUUACAGUGUUGAUGUUA